RNAcentral lists this ribosomal RNA (222 nucleotides) under uncultured bacterium. Its description in RNAcentral is "partial 16S ribosomal RNA". It matches the Rfam family "Bacterial small subunit ribosomal RNA", at positions 943 to 1167 of the family's 1533-position model. The record is from RNAcentral.
GGUUUAAUUCGAAGCAACGCGAAGAACCUUACCAGGUCUUGACAUCUUCUGACAAUUCCAGAGAUGGAACGUUCCCUUCGGGGACAGAAUGACAGGUGGUGCAUGGUUGUCGUCAGCUCGUGUCGUGAGAUGUUGGGUUAAGUCCCGCAACGAGCGCAACCCUUAUUGUCAGUUGCCAUCAUUAAGUUGGGCACUCUGGCGAGACUGCGGUGACAAACCGGA